AUAUAAUAGUGUUUCCUUAACCGCUCUGAGAUCGCCUGUUAUCGUAGGUCGGACACAUUUAAUAGCGGAUUCUUGUUGUGCUAUAGUUAUUUAUAUAACGAUAGCGCUUUCUGUUCUGCAAUUGUUAAUAUUCU
RNAcentral lists this small RNA (134 nucleotides) under Arabidopsis thaliana (thale cress). Its description in RNAcentral is "ATSL165590". Lineage: Eukaryota; Viridiplantae; Streptophyta; Magnoliopsida; Brassicales; Brassicaceae. The record is from RNAcentral.